RNAcentral lists this ribosomal RNA (274 nucleotides) under uncultured bacterium. RNAcentral describes it as "partial 16S ribosomal RNA". It matches the Rfam family "Bacterial small subunit ribosomal RNA", at positions 523 to 796 of the family's 1533-position model. The record is from RNAcentral.
AUACCGAGGGUGCAAGCGUUAAUCGGAUUUACUGGGCGUAAAGCGCGCGUAGGCGGCUAAUUAAGUCAAAUGUGAAAUCCCCGAGCUUAACUUGGGAAUUGCAUUCGAUACUGGUUAGCUAGAGUGUGGGAGAGGAUGGUAGAAUUCCAGGUGUAGCGGUGAAAUGCGUAGAGAUCUGGAGGAAUACCGAUGGCGAAGGCAGCCAUCUGGCCUAACACUGACGCUGAGGUGCGAAAGCAUGGGGAGCAAACAGGAUUAGAUACCCGCGUAGUCC